RNAcentral lists this non-coding RNA (29 nucleotides) under Homo sapiens (human). The record is from RNAcentral. Lineage: Eukaryota; Metazoa; Chordata; Mammalia; Primates; Hominidae.
UGAGGCAAUGUGAGACCUUCACACGGGGA